CAUCAAGCUCGAAACCAAAGACAUCUGAAUUAAACAAGUUAUCAGCAAGAGCAAGAGAAUAUGUCUGGGUACCGCAGGUCUCAAAUUCGCUACACCCCAACAGGAGGGCCGACUUUUAACAGGAAUGCUUCCGAUGGAUCCCAAGCCAACACUGUCGGGUGCGGGAACCAAGUCGAUUCUAGGAUGAACGAUUGUUAUGGUAACUAUAAACACGACACCACCCAGAAUUACAGUGGUAAGUUUGCUAACUUCAAUGCUGGAGAGCACAAUAACUCCAAGAACGAUCUGGGUGGAACUUUCAAUAUGUAAGGAGAGCUGGAAGGAUUAGUGUUCUUACAUUCAUGUAAUGUAAGACUUCUAUGUAUGAAGUAAUUAAAUAAAACGAGGCUCCUAGGUCUCUUUUCGUUUUACUAAUUUUCUUCGUUAUUGCGAACUAAUCAUAUUUUCUUCUUCAAAAUUAAAUAACAAACUAGUUAACGAUAAACAUGCAAUCGAAACACCAUUUGAAGAAUGUAAAUUAGAGAUCAUCUGUAACUUUUCUGAAAUUCGUUAACUUUGACUUAGGAUAACCCCUUCUUGUUCAUUAAAAUUGGUUCCUGAACUUCAGUCUACUGCGAGACGAGUUCUUCAACUCAAAAGGUUGUUCAUUAACCGUGUCUAAGAAGUAAUUACUAAAGUAAAAUUCAGCUCUGCCGAAACUCGGAAAUUGGACGUGCGUAGGAUCCAUUUCUGAUUGCAAGUCGAUAGCCAGGACAAGUUCUGACCUUCGUUUGUGGGAUUGGCCAUGCACAGCACUGUAGAAAUUCUCAAUACAAAAUUCCCAAAACAAAGUGGAACAAGUAAUAAACUCUAAUCCUCUCUUUUCUAAUACAUUCACUAAGUAUAAGAAACAUUCGAGCUCAGGAACAAGGCUACUAAGACUGUAUCUUGGCGUUGGAAUUGCUCUCCGGUUCUCGACUACUACCACGUCUGGACGGAAGCAUGCUGGAUUCUUGAAACCAUGAAUGGACUUCUUUAAAUUGUAUUCUAGUAAUUCUAUGUACUAAUAAUUCAGUAAAACUUUUUUUUUCUUAUAAAAAAGAUUAUAUUUUAAGAAAUUUAAUGUUAAUAUAUUAACUUAUUAAUAUACUAAGAUGAUACACGAAUAUAAGUUUAUAACAUAUAUUAUUGUAAUUUAAAUUACUAUAUAUUAUUAAUUGUAAGUCAUGAUGCAUACCAAAACAAUUGUGGUAUAGAGCAUAUAUCCACUGGACAUGCCUUAUCUCUAGUGGCUGCGGCUUUCAGAUGCCUCAACUCGGAAUUUGUUUUUUAAUAAAAUCAUACAAGUUAACAUGUGCAAUUUCUUAUCACAUAGUAAUAAUGUAUGAAGAGAUACGAUCAACAUAUAAAGCCGAUUCGUUCUCAUCCCAAGUUGUUACCCUGUCCAUAAGAUAAACAUCUAUAUAAGGCACUCGAUGGGGUGCUCUAAAACUCAUCGAGCCACCGAAUUAAGAGAUUUGGAUUAAACAACUGAUCAACGAGAGUUUCGCCAAUGGCCGGGAGGUAACCUCAAUACAGGAGGCCAAUGCGAUAUGAAAUACCAUACGAGCCAGUCCCAGGGCCUACUUUUAACAACAAUGGCAGCGUUGGAACGCAGGCCAACACUGUUGGAAAUGGUAACUACGUUGAUUCUCGAAUUACCGGCAGUUAUAACCAUCGUAACUACAACAAAACUGAGAAUUACAGUGGUAAAUUUGCUAACUUCAAUGCUGGCAAAUACAACGAUUCAAACAACAAUCUGAGUGGAACUUUCAAUAUGAAAUAAUCUCCCAUGGUCUGCCAUGAGGAGUAACUAAUCUUACGUUCAUGUAAUGUAAGACGUUUAUCUAUGAAGCAAUUAAAUAAAAGAAUGUUCUGCUAUCUGUCUAAUUACUGGCUCUUUUUAUUUAUUUUAUUAGCUAAGUUUUUGUUUAAUGAGUUCAAUUAACCAAAUUGAAAUUUGUAAUCCCAAAAAGUUAUAUCGUAAUCCUGAUUAGAAUCAAUAUGAGAAUCUAUAGUAACUUAUAUAUUUGUAAAGAAACUGAUAAAAGAAGUACACUGCAGCAAGAACUUCAUAACCGAGUAAGAAACUUGUAUGUCGAAAAAUAUAAGAUGCUCCAGAAGCACAAAUGAAUUACAAGGUAUAAUAAAUUAUUAACAAAUUUUGAAUUUUGGUUCUAUGAUUUUUUGACAAAAUUUUGAAACAAAUCAAUUAUAUUUAUCAAGUCUACCAACUUAUUUGUGUUCUUGGAAUACCUGAUGAUUGUUAUCAUCAGAGCUCUCUUUUUACCCUAUAACUAAAAGUAUGAGUUGAAUUAUCAACCAGAUCCUUGUUAAGUCUGCAAAGAGAUCGUAACACAAUGCGAGGAACCUGUCCUGAUUUAGAAAGAACUAAAGAAGAAUUUGGAAGUACAUGAACGAAGAACAAGAAAGGAUUUGGAGAGAAUAAGAAAAAAUAGCAGAAGAUUUAGAGAUAAGAAAAAUUAAGAAGAGAAUAAGAAAUCCUAGACGACUGAUUCAAUUCAAAAGGAUUUGUGUUUACAAAAAUUAUCUGCUCAUAAUCUCCAUUUCUUUCUCUUUUAUAUCAGUUUCUCUAAUAGCAGCAAAGCAGAAAUUACAACUAUUCUCUAAUUAAUUUUCAUUAAUCCAGACAACCAAACUAGUUAUUAUCUCCAAAACUAACCAAUAUGAAAUUUGGGUCCUGACACAUACAACAUGGCAAGCUUUAUCUAAUCGAUCUCUCAUGUUGAGAUUUUCACCCAGAUCAUUUUGGAGUCACAUUUCCCUUGGUUGAAAUUGGCAAAUUUACUUCUGUAAUUCUUAGUACUGGGUGUGUAGGCGUGUUGUAAGACUUAGUGAGGGAAAAUGUUCGGAUAGUUGUUGUCUCCAACAGUUUUCGGCCUGGGGAGAUAAUGCUUGCCAUUGUUGUUAAAGAUAGGCCCUGGAACAUGCCAACGCUACGAACAUUGCACGUGUAGUUUUAUUCUAUUCUCAAACUGUUCUAUCAAAGAAUUCGAGCAUACAAGUAUUCGGAAAAUAGCAAGCACUAAUAAAGAACAACGGCUUGUAGAUAUUAGCCAACAUGAUAUUUUUUCUUUUUCCCCCUUUUGAGGAUAUAUGCUCAUCCCAAUUGCGAGGAAUGUGAUUCUACGAACUAAAUUCUAUAUUACUUUAUACUCUACUUUGGAGGAAAGAAGAAAAACAAGUUUCUGCAAAAUUUUUCUAUAAUUUUUUUCUGACAAAGACUUGAAUUAGACUCUGAAAAUGUUCAUUUCUAGUUUUGUAGCAGCUAAUUGUAAUUUCUGUAAGAACACAUAGAUAUAUACCAAUAGAAAUAAUAACUAUUGAGGUAAAAGGGUCAAAAGACCCAAAAUGAAUAAUGCAUGUAAUUGAUUACACACACACACACUCAUAUAUAUAUAUAUAUAUAUAUUCUACUGUUAGUAGUAGAUCUUCUUGAAUUCCAGAAGAAACCAACUUACCCCAAUAUAGAGAGCUUUAGAAACAAAAUUUUUACCUCUAGUGCGUCGGAUGCUUUAGUAACAACUUUAUGUCUAGUGCGUUGGUAGUGCUUAUUGCUUUCAGAUGCCUCUUUUUAUCUCCUGGAAUUUCUUAUCAAAUCAGUCGAAUUUUUAGUCCGAUAAUGAUGGAUUGCUUCUCAUCUCAUCCCAGUCCUUACAUAAAUGUCUAUAUAAGGUGGCACUCGACGGCCAUUAAAAAUCAUCAAGCUCGAAAUUAAAGACAUCUGAAUUAAACAAGUGAUCAGCAAGAGUAGGAGAAAAUGUCUGGCUACAGAAAUGCUCAAAUCCGUUACACCCCGACCGGAGGGCCUACUUUUAACAGAAAUGCUUCCAGUGGGUCUGAAGCAAACACUGUUGGGAACUGUAACAAAGUCGAUUCUCGGAUGAACGAUUGUUACAAUGAGCAUAAAUAUGAUACCACUCAGCACUACAGUGGUAAGUUUGCUAACUUCAAUGCUGGAGAGCACAAUGAUUCCAAGAACAAUCUGAGUGGAACUUUCAAUAUGUAAGGAGAGCUGGAAGGAUAAAUAAUCUUACAUUCAUGCAAUGUAAGACUUCUUAUGUAUGAAGCUAUGAAAUAAAACAAGGCUCUCUUUUAUAUAUAUUCUAUUUAGCUUCUUCAUUUUUCGAGCUAAUAUGUUGCGUUUCCAAAUAUGAAUAAUUAACAUGAAGAAUUGCGCCAACCCGUAAGAUUACAGAUUAAGUUUACUUGUCCGAAAUUUGGUGGUUAUAUCGCACUCUCACACAAAAGAAAGGGAACUCAAUUACAUUUCCAAAAAAUCACUUAAAAAAACAACUUAAGAAAUCAUUUGGUGAACUCAAAGUAGAAUCGUAAACUCAACUGAAGCGUAAUCGAACACAACUAUGUAACUAGAGAGGAUUUUUUGCACCGAAAACCGAAC
RNAcentral lists this long non-coding RNA (4441 nucleotides) under Carica papaya (papaya). RNAcentral's name for it is "long non-coding RNA (CPAP_LNC012043)". The record is from RNAcentral. Lineage: Eukaryota; Viridiplantae; Streptophyta; Magnoliopsida; Brassicales; Caricaceae.